This is a long non-coding RNA of Oncorhynchus keta (chum salmon), 523 nucleotides long. RefSeq lists it as uncharacterized. The record is from RefSeq and is a predicted model, not a curated record. The transcript is spliced from 3 exons. Lineage: Eukaryota; Metazoa; Chordata; Actinopteri; Salmoniformes; Salmonidae.
CAGACAGAGAGAAACAGACAGACAGAGAGAGAGAAACAGACAGAGAGAACAGAGAGAGAGAGAGACAGACAGAGAGAGAAACAGACAGAGAGAAACAGACAGACAGAGAGAGAAACAGACAGACAGAGAGAAACAGACAGACAGAGAGAGAGAAACAGACAGAGAGAGAAAAACAGACAGAGAGAGAGAGAAACAGACAGAGAGAGAGAAACAGACAGAGAGAGAGAAACAGACAGAGAGAGAGAAACAGACAGACAGAGAGAAACAGACAGAGAGAGAGACACAGACCGACAGACAGAGAAACAGACAGACAGAGAAACAGACAGACAGACUCUAGUCAGGGACUAUAAAGGUUUAGUUACCUACAGACAUUAUUCUAUGUCUCUAGUCAGGGACUAUAAAGGUUUAGUUACCUACAGACAUUAUUCUAUGUCUCUAGUCAGGGACUAUAAAGGUUUAGUUACCUACAGACAUUAUUCUAUGUCUCUAGUCAGGGACUAUAAAGGUUUAGUUACCUACAGAC